This 440-nucleotide ribosomal RNA is filed under the name uncultured bacterium. RNAcentral describes it as "partial 16S ribosomal RNA". It matches the Rfam family "Bacterial small subunit ribosomal RNA", at positions 338 to 795 of the family's 1533-position model. The record is from RNAcentral.
CCUACGGGAGGCUGCAGUAGGGAAUAUUGCUCAAUGGGGGAAACCCUGAAGCAGCAACGCCGCGUGGAGGAUGAAGGUUUUCGGAUUGUAAACUCCUUUUGUUAGAGAAGAUAAUGACGGUAUCUAACGAAUAAGCACCGGCUAACUCCGUGCCAGCAGCCGCGGUAAUACGGAGGGUGCAAGCGUUACGCGGAAUCACUGGGCGGAAAGAGCGCGUAGGCGGGUUAGCAAGUCAGAUGUGAAAUCCUAUGGCUUAACCAUAGAACUGCAUUUGAAACUGUUAUUCUAGAGUAUGGGAGGGGUAGGUGGAAUUCUUGGUGUAGGGGUAAAAUCCGUAGAGAUCAAGAGGAAUACUCAUUGCGAAGGCGACCUGCUAGAACAUAACUGACGCUGAUGCGCGAAAGCGUGGGGAGCAAACAGGAUUAGAUACCCGGGUAGUC